This is a long non-coding RNA of Triticum dicoccoides, 854 nucleotides long. RefSeq lists it as uncharacterized. The transcript is spliced from 2 exons. The record is from RefSeq and is a predicted model, not a curated record. NCBI's taxonomy places the organism in Eukaryota, Viridiplantae, Streptophyta, Magnoliopsida, Poales, Poaceae.
CCAUCCAUACCUCCUCCCCGCCGCCACUCCACCUGGUUCCUCAGGAUCCAUCCCGGUCCAACCAGCGAGCCCCCCUCCUCCUGCCUUGUUCCCCGAAGGGAUCGAGAGAGCUGCCACUGCCUUGUCACCUCCCGCGCCUCUCGACCCCCGCCUCCUCUGCACACAUCUCGUCGGAGCAAGCCCAUCCCGAUCCAGUCGCUGGCGGUGAAUAGCAGCAGCAACCGAGGCCCCACUGCUCCCUGCCUCCUCACCACCGUUGCCUGAUGAGCUCCUCGCCUGCGCCGUCUUCAUCCUCGCCGAGCCUCGCCAUGGAUGCUGCCUCCUCGGCCUCGUCAUAGGACAAGCGCCCAGCCGCUCUGCCUCGAUUACGCGUGGACCAGCCGCCGCCAAGUCCCUUUCCCCGCCGCCUUCCAUUCCUCACCACCCGGAGCAAGCCGCCGCACCGUUCGUCGUCUUCGCGCCAAGCUGCCGUCGCCAAGACCUUGUCUCUGUCCAGAUCCACUCGGCGCUGCCCGUUCCUGACCAUCUGCGCCGCCUGUUCAAGUCCCAGCACCGCCUCGUUCUUCUUCCUGGAGCGAAAGCCGCCACCUGCUCGAUCCCUGCUUCACGAACGAGACGACGAGCGCCCAGUUUCUUCGUUGACGCCCGCAUUGCUUCCCGUGUCGGCCCAGCACGCCUCCUCACCCAGAUGCGGCCUGCCAGCUUGUCCUCUGACCGGGCCGAAGCCCAUGGGUGAGGACGCGCCCAGCCCCUCUCCUAUGCGCUGCUGGGCCAGCCAGAUUUCGGCCCAUGCAUUUUUUUUCGUGCACUACGAAUUUUGCCAUUUAUCCCAAAAACUGAAUAUUUACAGAUUA